Molecule: ribosomal RNA, 266 nt
Filed under: uncultured bacterium
Lineage: Bacteria
Description: partial 16S ribosomal RNA
Rfam family: Bacterial small subunit ribosomal RNA
Source: RNAcentral
UACGUAGGGUGCAAGCGUUUAAUCGGAAUUACUGGGCGUAAAGCGUGCGCAGGCGGUUUUGUAAGUCUGUCGUGAAAUCCCCGGGCUCAACCUGGGAAUUGCGUUUGAAACUACAAGGCUAGAGUGUAGCAGAGGGGGGUAGAAUUCCACGUGUAGCAGUGAAAUGCGUAGAGAUGUGGAGGAAUACCAAUGGCGAAGGCAGCCCCCCUGGGUUAACACUGACGCUCAUGCACGAAAGCGUGGGGAGCAAACAGGAUUAGAAAACC